This 244-nucleotide ribosomal RNA is filed under the name Acidimicrobiales bacterium. RNAcentral describes it as "partial 23S ribosomal RNA". It matches the Rfam family "Bacterial large subunit ribosomal RNA", at positions 2683 to 2925 of the family's 2925-position model. Lineage: Bacteria; Bacillati; Actinomycetota; Acidimicrobiia; Acidimicrobiales. The record is from RNAcentral.
ACGAGAGGACCGGGACGGACGCAGCUCUCGUGUGCCAGUUGUCCUGCCAAGGGCACGGCUGGUUAGCGACCUGCGGGUGGGAUAAGCGCUGAAAGCAUCUAAGCGCGAAGCUCGUUCCUAGAUGAGGUUUCCCACAGCACAAGCUGGUAAGGCCCGUGGCCAGAUGACCACGUUGAUAGGCCGGAGGUGUACGUACCGCAAGGUACUUAGCCGACCGGUACUAAUCGGCCGAGGGCUUGGAGAU